Molecule: unclassified non-coding RNA, 202 nt
Filed under: Clostridioides difficile
Lineage: Bacteria; Bacillati; Bacillota; Clostridia; Peptostreptococcales; Peptostreptococcaceae
Description: T-box
Source: RNAcentral
AUAAAUGCUAUGAAGAGAAGAAGUAGGGCUAUAUUUUAUUUAACAGAGAGUUCCAGUUUGGUGAAAUGGAAUAAAUUGAUUUAGUUUGAAUACAUCUCAGAGCACUAUCUCUGAAAGAUAACAACCAUUAAGAGAUAUCGGAUUAGUACACGUUAUAGUACACGAGUAUAUGUAAUUGUACUCUAAGAGAUUAAUAUCGUGA